This 241-nucleotide long non-coding RNA is filed under the name Panax ginseng (ginseng). RNAcentral's name for it is "long non-coding RNA (PGIN_LNC005256)". Lineage: Eukaryota; Viridiplantae; Streptophyta; Magnoliopsida; Apiales; Araliaceae. The record is from RNAcentral.
UCAACAAUGACCAUGAACAAUUUAAUUGAACCUUAUGGUAAUGAAGGUGAUCAGCCUUUCAUACCUGAUGAACAUAUACAACAUGCACUAAGUGUGAAUCAAUAAUCUGUAUAAAAGUGAAUAAUCAACAACAACUAUUCACUAACAUGCUUUGAACAUACAACUCAAGUUUGAGUUAGGGAAACUUUCCUGAACCGUUGAUUACUGCUACGCAAUCUAAGUUAACGUCCUUAUUGAAAAG